CGGCAACAGCCCAAAACUCAAAGGACUUGGCGGUGCUUUAUACCCUUCUAGAGGAGCCUGUUCUAUAAUCGAUAAACCCCGAUAAACCCUACCAGUCCUUGCUAAUACAGUCUAUAUACCGCCAUCUUCAGCAAACCCUGAAAAGGAGCAAAAGUAAGCACAAUCAUAAGACAUAAAAACGUUAGGUCAAGGUGUAACCUAUGGAUUGGAAAGAAAUGGGCUACAUUUUCUAUCUCAAGAA
RNAcentral lists this ribosomal RNA (241 nucleotides) under Nanger granti (Grant's gazelle). Its description in RNAcentral is "partial 12S ribosomal RNA". Lineage: Eukaryota; Metazoa; Chordata; Mammalia; Artiodactyla; Bovidae. The record is from RNAcentral.